Molecule: ribosomal RNA, 259 nt
Filed under: uncultured archaeon
Lineage: Archaea
Description: partial 16S ribosomal RNA
Rfam family: Archaeal small subunit ribosomal RNA
Source: RNAcentral
UAGCCGUAAACGAUACUCGCUAGGUGUCGGCCACGGUGCGACCGUUGUCGGUGCCGUAGGGAAGCCGUGAAGCGAGCCACCUGGGAAGUACGGCCGCAAGGCUGAAACUUAAAGGAAUUGGCGGGGGAGCACAACAACGGGUGGAGCUUGCGGUUUAAUUGGAUUCAACGCCGGAAAUCUUACCGGGACCGACAGCAACAUGAAGGCCAGGCUGAAGACUUUGCCGGAUUAGCUGAGAGGAGGUGCAUGGCGUAGUCGU